RNAcentral lists this ribosomal RNA (423 nucleotides) under uncultured bacterium. RNAcentral's name for it is "bacterial SSU rRNA". It matches the Rfam family "Bacterial small subunit ribosomal RNA", at positions 355 to 774 of the family's 1533-position model. The record is from RNAcentral.
UAGGGAAUAUUGCGCAAUGGACGAAAGUCUGACGCAGCGACGCUACGUGAGCGAAGAAGGAUUUCGGUCUGUAAAGCUCUGUCAGGAGGGAAGAAUUUGUCCGGGUAAUGCCGGGCACUGACGGUACCUCCAGAGGAAGCUCCGGCUAACUCCGUGCCAGCAGCCGCGGUAAUACGGGGGGAGCUAGUGUUGUUCGGAUUUAUUGGGCGUAAAGCGAGUGUAGGCGGAAGCCUAAGUCAGGGGUGAAAAUUCGAGGCUCAACCUCGAACCUGCCUUUGAUACUGGGUUUCUUGAGUAUGGAAGAGGGCAAUGGAAUUCCUGGUGUAGCGGUGGAAUGCGUAGAUAUCAGGAGGAACACCAAUAGCGAAGGCAGUUGCCUGGGACAAUACUGACGCUGAAAUUCGAAAGCGUGGGGAGCAAACA